This 235-nucleotide non-coding RNA is filed under the name Tetragenococcus muriaticus. RNAcentral describes it as "T-box sequence". It matches the Rfam family "T-box leader". From Rfam's summary of the family: Uncharged tRNA acts as the effector for transcription antitermination of genes in the T-box leader family. The record is from RNAcentral. Lineage: Bacteria; Bacillati; Bacillota; Bacilli; Lactobacillales; Enterococcaceae.
AGAAUUCCGUAGAUGAGAAGAGUAAUUUCGUUGCUUUUUAUUCAGAGAGAUCUUGGUAGGUGAAAAAGAUCAUGAAAGGCGAAAUGAAGAUGGUCUCUGAGGAUAAACCAUCGAUAUGUAGAUGGUUUCGAAAGGUUCAAUCGUUAUCUUGAACGCCAUUUCUUGCUUUGAGAUGGGCAGAGAGAAGUAUAAACUUCUAUAACAUAAGGUGGUACCGUGAAUGUUCACCCUUUUA